RNAcentral lists this small RNA (139 nucleotides) under Buttiauxella agrestis ATCC 33320. RNAcentral's name for it is "CpoB/ybgF ICR thermometer". It matches the Rfam family "CpoB/ybgF ICR thermometer". From Rfam's summary of the family: Imprinting control region from upstream of cpoB/ybgF (tol/pal system protein). The record is from Rfam by way of RNAcentral. Lineage: Bacteria; Pseudomonadati; Pseudomonadota; Gammaproteobacteria; Enterobacterales; Enterobacteriaceae.
CCAGAUCUCCAUCGUUUCUUACGGUAAAGAAAAACCAGCAGUUCUGGGUCAUGACGAAGCGGCUUACGCUAAAAACCGUCGUGCCGUUCUGGUUUACUAAGAGAACAGUAUGAACAGUAACCUCAGACAUCACUUGUUG